RNAcentral lists this unclassified non-coding RNA (240 nucleotides) under soil metagenome. Its description in RNAcentral is "partial contains 5.8S ribosomal RNA, internal transcribed spacer 2, and large subunit ribosomal RNA". The record is from RNAcentral.
AACUGAUACUACCUGCGGGAACCUGCGGAAGGAUCAUUACCGAGUUAGGGUCUCUCAGGCCCGAUCUCCAACCCUGUGUAUAUAUUACUUUGUUGCUUUGGCAGGCCUGUCUUUAACCAGACUGCCGGGGGUGGUUACACACCUCUGGAGAGCGCCUGUCAGUGGCCCCCCCUCUUUAAAUUCUUGAUUAAUCGUGAAUUCUGAGUAUCAAAUAACAUUUUAAAACUUUUAGCAACGGAU